UACAGAGGGUCCCAAGCGUUACUGAGAAUCACUGGGUUUAAAGGGUGCGUAGGUGGUCCGUUAAGUCAGUUGUGAAAUCCCCCGGGCUCAACCCGGGAACUGCUUCUGAUACUGGCGGACUUGAGGCCAGUAGGGGUCACUAGAACUGACGGUGGAGCGGUGAAAUGCGUAGAUAUCGUCAGGAAUGCCGGUGGUGAAGACGGGUGACUGGGCUG
This 215-nucleotide ribosomal RNA is filed under the name uncultured bacterium. RNAcentral describes it as "partial 16S ribosomal RNA". It matches the Rfam family "Bacterial small subunit ribosomal RNA", at positions 524 to 736 of the family's 1533-position model. The record is from RNAcentral.